UUAGAGAACGCCAGCGCGCGUAAGUGCGCACGAGUUGGUGAACGGGAAACCGGUGCAAAUCCGGUACUGACCUCGCAACGGUAAUCGAGUGAUCGGCAGCAGAAUGUCACUGUCUUUUGGGAUGGGAAGGCGCCGCCGAUCAAUACUCGUCAAGUCCGGAGACCGGCCGCUCGAACCUUGUGAAAU
RNAcentral lists this non-coding RNA (186 nucleotides) under Aurantiacibacter atlanticus. Lineage: Bacteria; Pseudomonadati; Pseudomonadota; Alphaproteobacteria; Sphingomonadales; Erythrobacteraceae. The record is from RNAcentral.